Molecule: ribosomal RNA, 500 nt
Filed under: uncultured bacterium
Lineage: Bacteria
Description: bacterial SSU rRNA
Rfam family: Bacterial small subunit ribosomal RNA
Source: RNAcentral
UGGGGAACCUUGCACAAUGGGGGCAACCCUGAUGCAGCGACGCCGCGUGAGCGAUGAAGCCCUUCGGGGUGUAAAGCUCUUUCGGCAGGGAAGAUAAUGACGGUACCUGCAGAAGCAGCUGCGGCUAACUACGUGCCAGCAGCCGCGGUAAUACGUAGGCAGCAAGCGUUGUUCGGAGUUACUGGGCGUAAAGGGUGCGUAGGCGGCUCUAUAAGUAUGGUGUGAAAUCUCCCGGCUCAACUGGGAGGGUGCGCUAUAGACUGUGGGGCUAGAGUGCGGGAGAGGAAAGUGGAAUUCCUGGUGUAGCGGUGAAAUGCGUAGAUAUCAGGAGGAACACCGGUGGUGUAAACGGCUUUCUGGACCGUAACUGACGCUGAUGCACGAAAGCGUGGGUAGCAAACAGGAUUAGAUACCCUGGUAGUCCACGCCCUAAACGAUGCAUAUUUGGUGUGGGUCAUUCAGUUGAUCCGUGCCGGAGCUAACGCGUUAAAUAUGCCGCC